GUGUAUUUUUAAUCAAAUGUAUUGUUAAAUCAUGAGGUUCUGUCUUUAUUGAUAUUAGUUUGGACUCAUAUUAAGAUAUGAGUAAUUUUUUUUGUUUGGAAUAUGUUCCCUGUGUGUCUAAUUAUAUCAAUUUCCAUCUAAUUAAUUGAAUAUCUGUAUAUGUCUUAAUUUCCUGUGAUCCACCCUUUUGAGGCCUAAUCUUUCAAGUCCAACAUUUUGUAGCAUGAUGUUUCUAUGUUCCAGUAAUUGCAUCUAUGGAGAGCUCUGGUGACGAAGUUAAGUUCAAGUGGGCAUGGUUUCGCUGUACUGGACUACCUGCGACUAGAGCGCAUCUGACCACUGAGGUGAAGUCCAAAAAUAUGGAAGCCACAAGAAAUCCAGACAUCAUCACACUUUCCGAAGAUGAGGAAAGCAUCCAUCCUACGAAGGUGUCAGAGGAUGAGAUGGCAUUUUCAAAUGUGCAGGGCGACAACGACGAUGAUGGUGACGAUGAAGAAGAUGCCAUUACUACAGAGGAGGAGUUCUGCUUGAGGCUGGACACGAUGAGGGAGUUUUUCCUGCAGCAGCUGAAGCUCUUAAGGGAAUCUGUGGCCUGUUCUCAGAUAAAGAUGCAGGAGGAUUUAAAAUCCUCCAGGGAGGCCACAGAAACUAGUCUGAAUGAGGAGCACAAUCGAUACGCUGAGUGGCUAGAAGCCAGGGUCAAAACUGAUCUCCAGCUGCUGGAGGAAAAUCAUAAAGCGGCUGGUCAUAGGGUGGAGGAAAUGGUUAAGGCCAUGGGGGAAGCACUUGGCCAUGGUUAA
Molecule: long non-coding RNA, 800 nt
Organism: Cyprinus carpio carpio
Lineage: Eukaryota; Metazoa; Chordata; Actinopteri; Cypriniformes; Cyprinidae
Source: Ensembl